AGCGAACGCUGGCGGCAGGCCUAACACAUGCAAGUCGAACGAACACAUCGGGCUUCGUGCCGGUCGGGUGAGUAACGCGUGGGAACGUGGCAAUAGGUUCGGAACAACCUAGUGAAAGGUGUGAACAUCUCGAAAGGGUACCUAGUAGGAAAGAUUUAUCGCAUUUAGAACGGCCGGCGCCUGAUUAGCUAGUUGGUCGAGGUAAUGCAUCACGAAGGCGCCGAUCAGUAGCGGGGCUGCGAGGAUGAUCAGCCACCUUGGGACUGAGACACGGCCCAAACUCCUACGGGAGGCAGCAGUGGGGAAUCUUGCGCAAUGGGCGAAAGCCUGACGCAGCCAUGCCGCGUGAAUGAUGAAGGUCUUAGGAUUGUAAAAUUCUUUCACCGGGGACGAUAAUGACGGUACCCGGAGAAGAAGCCCCGGCUAACUUCGUG
This 434-nucleotide ribosomal RNA is filed under the name uncultured bacterium. Its description in RNAcentral is "partial 16S ribosomal RNA". It matches the Rfam family "Bacterial small subunit ribosomal RNA", at positions 29 to 507 of the family's 1533-position model. The record is from RNAcentral.